Molecule: ribosomal RNA, 463 nt
Filed under: uncultured bacterium
Lineage: Bacteria
Description: partial 16S ribosomal RNA
Rfam family: Bacterial small subunit ribosomal RNA
Source: RNAcentral
GACGAACGCUGGCGGCGUGCUUAACACAUGCAAGUCGAACGGAAAGGCCCAGCUUGCUGGGUGCUCGAGUGGCGAACGGGUGAGUAACACGUGGGUGAUCUGCCUCUAACUUCGGGAUAAGCUUGGGAAACUGGGUCUAAUACCGGAUAGGACAAUCGUUUAGUGUCGGUUGUGGAAAGUUUUUUCGGUUAGGGAUGAGCCCGCGGCCUAUCAGCUUGUUGGUGGGGUAAUGGCCUACCAAGGCGUCGACGGGUAGCCGGCCUGAGAGGGUGGACGGCCACAUUGGGACUGAGAUACGGCCCAGACUCCUACGGGAGGCAGCAGCGGGGAAUAUUGCACAAUGGGCGCAAGCCUGAUGCAGCGACGCCGCGUGGGGGAUGACGGCCUUCGGGUUGUAAACCUCUUUCGACAGGGACGAAGCUUUGGUGACGGUACCUGUAUAAGAAGCACCGGCUAACUACGU